This 1207-nucleotide long non-coding RNA is filed under the name Fragaria vesca (wild strawberry). RNAcentral's name for it is "long non-coding RNA (FVES_LNC004347)". Lineage: Eukaryota; Viridiplantae; Streptophyta; Magnoliopsida; Rosales; Rosaceae. The record is from RNAcentral.
AAGAUUAUUCGUAUGAGGAAAAUACGACGACGGUAAAAAUGGUAAAUUUUAGCUAGUAAAAGGUAAUUUUUAUUCGGGUAUUAUUUUUCGGGGUGUUUUUAUUUUGGAAGAUUGGGUUAUAAGUGGUGUGGACCGGUUUGGGCCAAGCCCAUACAUUUCUCUCCCCUCACUUCUCUCUUUUCCUCCCGAUUCUCUCUCCUCCCACCCGAUUUUCUCCUCCCUCCGCCCGGAAACUUCACCACCGCCGUCCGCCGCCGUCCGGCCACCACCGACCGCCAGACUGGUCCCGUUCGGACCCUUGCCUCUUCCUCUCUCAUCCUGGACCGGUGCACGCGCGCGGAACGCCGCCGUGAAGGAGCGGUCAACCCCGAAAGGUUCGACUGCCGGAAAGGGUUUUUCGCCGGAGCUCCGUCUUCCGGCCACCAUAGGUCGUGAUUUUUUGCUCAACUUGUAGCCCUCAUCUAGGUGAGUAAUCCCUCAAAAAAGGAUUCGGCUAAAUUCGAUUUCGUUAGGGUGGUUUGUAUAAUUGGAUGAGUUUUGGAUAGGUUUACGAAUUUCCGAAGUUUGGUAUUUUUGGCGGUUAAUUAAUGUAGAAUCCGGCCGUAGGAUUUAAGUCGUAUUUUGGAGAGGUUGUAUUUACGACUGUUGAGUAUGAUAUUUAAGUUCGGAUCGUUCCGAUUUAAGAAUAUCGAAGUUAGGCAAUAAUGAGCAUAUUUAUGGCUCUCGGGUAAUUUUGCCUAUUUUGAUUAAAUAUUGGAUUAUUGGUUGGGAAAUUAAUAUUAUAUUUGGAACAGGACGUGAGGAGGCUCGAGCAGACGAGGCCCCAGAUCGACAUCAGGCUUAGGCCAAAUUUGUGAGUGGACGUUUAUUUUAAAUAAAUGCAUGCUAUAGUUCAUGGUUGAACAAUUAAUGUCGUAGAGUAUUUUGACGUCAUUUUAAUUUUUGACGAUUUUUAUUUCUCUUGGAGAGAUACCGAAAAUGGGAUUUUCGGUGGAUAUAAAUAUGUAUUUAUGAGAGAGUAUGUAUAGAAAAUGCUAGCUAGCCAUAUGUGUCUGUCCACCUUAAUGGCGUAGCAUAUAGCCGCAUUAUGGUGUGACGUGAGCGUUGGACGUAAGCGUAGUAGCCCUAUUUGAGUGUUUAAUUCAUAUAGGGGGUAUGGACACAUAUUUAUACACCCGUCUGUCCACCUUGAUGGCAUAGUGUAGCA